Molecule: ribosomal RNA, 421 nt
Filed under: uncultured bacterium
Lineage: Bacteria
Description: bacterial SSU rRNA
Rfam family: Bacterial small subunit ribosomal RNA
Source: RNAcentral
AAUAUUGGACAAUGGGCGAAAGCCUGAUCCAGCAAUGCCGCGUGUGUGAAGAAGGCCUUCGGGUUGUAAAGCACUUUCAGUGGGGAAGAAAAAUUCAGGGCUAAUACCCCUGAGUAUUGACGUUACCCAAAGAAGAAGCACCGGCUAACUCUGUGCCAGCAGCCGCGGUAAUACAGAGGGUGCGAGCGUUAAUCGGAAUUACUGGGCGUAAAGCGUGCGUAGGCGGAUAUUUAAGUCGAAUGUGAAAUCCCCGGGCUUAACCUGGGAACUGCAUCCGAUACUGGAUAUCUCGAGUAUGGUAGAGGAAAGUGGAAUUCCCGGUGUAGCGGUGAAAUGCGUAGAUAUCGGGAGGAACAUCAAUGGCGAAGGCAACUUUCUGGACCAAUACUGACGCUGAGGUACGAAAGCGUGGGGAGCAAAC